GGAUACCUGGUGUAUUUGCCAGACGGCUAGUUCUCUACCCGAUAAUUGUUACCUAGGUGGUUACUAGUCGCUGAUGAUGUGCAUGUCCGCAUUGCGGGAAGCCUAAUUCAGUGCAGCAACCACCGCCUUGAACCAUCGGGUUCAAGGGCGCCGCCGUCAGCGGUACUCUGGGGAUCCA
RNAcentral lists this non-coding RNA (178 nucleotides) under Candidatus Litorirhabdus singularis. Its description in RNAcentral is "6S RNA". It matches the Rfam family "6S / SsrS RNA". Rfam says of the family: E. coli 6S RNA was the first non coding RNA to be sequenced, but its function was unknown until recently. It consists of 184 nucleotides that fold into an extended hairpin structure with a large single-stranded internal bulge. The 6S RNA specifically associates with RNA polymerase holoenzyme containing the sigma70 specificity factor. The record is from RNAcentral. Lineage: Bacteria; Pseudomonadati; Pseudomonadota; Gammaproteobacteria; Cellvibrionales; Halieaceae.